This is a non-coding RNA of Drosophila virilis, 83 nucleotides long. The record is from Rfam. NCBI's taxonomy places the organism in Eukaryota, Metazoa, Arthropoda, Insecta, Diptera, Drosophilidae.
CUCAAUUACCGUGACAUAGUCGUACGGUGAAUGUUGUGUAUGGAGUCCAAUGUUAACUGUAAGACUGUGUCUCGGUGGUUGUU